GAUGAACGCUAGCGGCAGGCUUAACACAUGCAAGUCGAGGGGCAGCGCGAUGUAGCAAUACAUUGGCGGCGACCGGCGCACGGGUGCGUAACACGUAUGGAAUCUGCCCUGUACUGGGGAAUAGCCCGGAGAAAUCCGGAUUAAUGCCCCAUAACAGACGAAGUGGCAUCACUUUGUCUUGAAAGCUCCGGCGGUACAGGAUGACCAUGCGCACGAUUAGCUAGUUGGUGAGGUAACGGCUCACCAAGGCUACGAUCGUUAGGGGGCCUGAGAGGGUUAUCCCCCACACUGGUACUGAGACACGGACCAGACUCCUACGGGAGGCAGCAGUGAGGAAUAUUGCGCAAUGGAGGCAACUCUGACGCAGCCAUGCCGCGUGCAGGAAGAAGGCGCUACGCGUUGUAAACUGCUUUUACCCGGGAAGAAACCCCUCUACGUGUGGAGGGUUGACGGUACCGGAGGAAUAAGCACCGGCUAACUUCGUGCCAGCAGCCG
This 495-nucleotide ribosomal RNA is filed under the name uncultured bacterium. Its description in RNAcentral is "bacterial SSU rRNA". It matches the Rfam family "Bacterial small subunit ribosomal RNA", at positions 28 to 517 of the family's 1533-position model. The record is from RNAcentral.